Non-coding RNA from Myodes glareolus (Bank vole), 3227 nucleotides. Lineage: Eukaryota; Metazoa; Chordata; Mammalia; Rodentia; Cricetidae. The record is from RefSeq and is a predicted model, not a curated record.
CAAAAUUGAUCUUUAAUUUGUGUCUAUAAACCAAGAUCCAUACCAAUGCAAAUUAUUGAUCUCUAUAUCAGCAUAGGUUUUGACACAUACAUAAUUCCAUGUGUCCACAAUUAUUAUAUUAUAGAGGAUAGUUCCUCAGCCCUCAACAUCCUCUUCAUUCCUCUUAGUCAUGCCAAUCACUCAUUAUUUUUUUUCUUCCAUGGAGAUUUGCCCUUUAUAGAGUUUUAUAGACAUGAUAUACUCUACACAGUCUUUUUAGAUUGGCUUAAAUUUCUCCAUGCCUUUAUAACUCAUGUCUUUUAGGUGCUGAGUAAUAUUCCAUAUGGAUGUACCUCGGUUGGUUUGUUCAUUUACUUGCUAAAGGUUAGUCUGGUUGUCUCCAAGCUAUGACAAUUACUGAAUCACCGGGCAUCUCUCCAGCCCCUGGAAUCAAGUUUUAAACUGUUAGUGAAAGCAUCAAGAACUCUUCCUGGGAGCACAACAAGAUGGAGGAUGGUGUGCAAAUUAAACAUCUUCUGAGAUAUUCCUGCAUUAAUUGACGGAUAGGCAAAUGUCACUGCAAUAAAACAUGACCCAAAGGGACUUACAGAAGAAAGACUUUAUAUGGUGCCUGAAAGAAGCGUUCACAAUGGCGAAGAAGGCAUGGCAGAAGAUGGUCAGAACUGAGAGAUCACAUCUUCAUCCACAUGUAUGAAGCUGGUGUGGGGGAGGGAGAUGCAGACAGACAGAGAUACCGACAACAGACAGAGACAGACAGACAGAGAGACAGAUAUCAGAAAGCUGGGGCCAGGAUAUAAGACUUCUGAAACCUGCCCCCCACACCUGCAGUCCCAGCCCAGUAAUACACUUUCUCCAGAAAGUCUGUACCUCCUAAAAGCUCUAUACUUUCCCCAAACAGCGCUCCCAACUGGGGAUCAAAUAUUAAAAUCUUUGAGCCUACAGGAGGUAUAUUUUCAUUCAGACUCUCCACAAAAGCCAAUAUGUCUUUUGUUUAACCUAAAAAGAGUUUCUAUUCUACAUUAUGAGUACUUGGCUUCAGAUAUAAUAUUUGAUAUGUUUACACGGUGCUUGAACUUCGUCAGCCAUCACUUUGGUGGGACUUGGAUUUCAGUAGAUGGGACCUGGGUCUGAGCCCCAUGAGCAGGGUGCCCUAAAUGCUGUAAUGUUUCAUCCCGCGGGACUUCAGAGAGCCUCUCUCAGCUGGAAAGUGCGGCGAGAUUACUGUGCGGCUGCCCUUGUAUUCUAAUCAAGAUGAACUUGAAAGGUGAACAUUAUAAGUGGUAGAAAUUAUUUAUAAUUUGGUAAUAAAAGUUUAUAUCUAACACUCCAGAUUUCAUACGUCUGCUAUGUGCUGGCUCUGGGUUAUAAAACAAUUGUAGUUGCCUUUACGUUUGGCCUUAUAAGAAAGGUCGUAAAUUAGAAUGAUAGCAUUCGUCCUCUUUCUGAGCUCAGAAAAUUUCCAUAUUAACAUCUUCACCUCAAACAUAAAUGGUUACCCAACUACAAAGAAAAGAGUUGCGCUGAGCUUUAUGAAUUACAGUUUAUGUUGAAAAUCUGUGUACACACGGCUGCAGUAGUGCAUUUCAACUUCAGUAAAGCUGGUUUUACCAUAGUGGAGCUAAUUCAAACUGCAUGGGCAACUUAAAUAAAUAAAGAACAGCAUAUAAAACUUGGGAAUAUUUUAGAUGUCAGCAAAAGGUUGCUAGGGUAUGCAAUUAUUUUAACUCUUAACAUGCAUUUUUAUGUCUUCAAGGGUUUUUUCCCCUUCCAGAAUAUCUCUACCUCACUGCUUACAAAUAAGCUUUGCUUUCAGUUUCAAAUGUUUCUUUGUAGUGUGGUUUUAACUGAUAACGUGACAGUCUGGGUUUUCUCCCCCUUACAGAAAAAAUACACAGCGCAUUCUAUUAUGACAUAUAAUGGCUAAAGUCUUCCCAAGAUAUUGAUGAAUUGGACCAAUGCUUUAUGUUUAGACUUUCAAAAAAUGUUUACAGCAAAAACCAGAUGACCUUAAUUUUCCAGUGUGGAAUAUCAAAUCCAUGUGCUUUGCUGGUGUAGGCCACUUUCACCAUCCUGUCUGUGUAGUUAGAAUACAGUGAACUGUAAACAAGCAGGAUCAAGUUCUAGAACAAUCACAGGGGCCCAGACUUUCAUCCACAGAGAACAGAGAAUGUUAGUUCUCGGUAACUUUCAGCAUUAGAAACUGUCUUUCCCAUGGGGGAUUUAAUAGAGCUAGAAGUUCCUAAUGAGUUAGCAUGGCUUAGUCUAUGAGGGCUGCUGUAGCAAUAUACCCUAGACUGGGCAGACUGGGCAACUCAUUACUCACUGUUUUCUAGACUAGGAAGCCCAUGACAAAGGUACCAACAGUUUUGUUCUCUGCGGCUUUGACGACACCUUCUGAAUUCAUUUUCAUGAGGAGGAAAGUAGCAAGGGAACUCACUGUAGCCACUUAAAUAAAGACACAGAUCCAGUCGUGAGGCCCUGUGACUUCACACAGAUCCAGUCGUGAGGCCCCUGUGACUUCACACAGAUCCAGUUGUGAGGCCCCUGUGACUUCACACAGAUCCGGUCGUGAGGGCCUGUGACUUCACACAGAUCCAGUCGUGAGGCCCCUGUGACUUCACACAGAUCCGGUCGUGAGGGCCUGUGACUUCAUCACUUCUUUUCUGUUGUUUUAAAAUGUGUUAUUGUUGCUGCUAUUGUUGCUGUUAUUGUUUCUUGUCAUCGUCAUGAUUAUGUUGGCUCUGUGUGUAAAGGCACACACUGGUGGGUGAAGGACUGCAGCCACAGCAGAUGCGAAUCUGAGCAAACUUUGUGGAGUAGUUCUCACCUUCUAUCUUUCCUUGGGUCCUACACUGUCAAGCUUGCGUAGCGGUGCUUUUCCUGACUGAGCCACCUCAUGCAACCAGUUCUUAAUGCACAGCUGUGCUGGUUCGUCUGUCAACUUCACAUAACCUGGAGUCAUCUGAGAAGAGGCAACCUUCAUUCAGAAAAUGCUAACAUCAGACUGACCUGUAAGGAGGGCCCAGCCAGCCGUAGGUGGUGUCCACGCGCCCCCACUCCCGGGCAGAUGGUCCUGGGCUGUGGAAUAAUUGCAAUUGCAGCAAGCCAGUGAGCAGCAUCCUCCAUGGUAUCUGUUUUAGUUCCUGCCUCCAGCUCCUGUGCCGAGUUCCUGCCCUCAAUGAUGGAUGUCUAGAAAUGUUAAGUCAAAUAAACCCUGUUCUUCUUAA